UCUUUGGAUAAAUAUUCCUGUCAGUUCGGAUGCCUGUUCGGGGAAUAUGUCGUGUUUGGGAAUCUUUGAUAAAUUAGACAAGUUCACCUUCUUAAGCAACAGAUCUGAUUGCAGAUCCUUUAGGGUGAAGUUAUUAAAUCAGUCUCCUUAUGGUGUAGUGCUCAGCGGUCAGCCAUCAGAACCAGGUCCCUGACAGAAGACCUGGAGGAGACCCGUCAGCUGCUGAAAGAGGCUCAGGAGAGAGCUGGUCACACUCAGAGACGCUUCACAAAACUGACCAGUGAAAUCGAUGAUCUAAAGGGUCAUGUCAGAAGACUUGAAGACAAAAACAGAAAACUCGCCUUUGAAAGAUCACUGAUGGACGAGAGUCUGAACAACCUGAGGAGGGUCAACUCUGAGUUGAGGGUAUGAUGGAACGAGCAUCUGCGUGUUUGUAUGGAAGAGCCUGAUUUCCCUGUGUUUGCAGGCCGAA
Nothobranchius furzeri (turquoise killifish) is the source of this 472-nucleotide non-coding RNA. NCBI's taxonomy places the organism in Eukaryota, Metazoa, Chordata, Actinopteri, Cyprinodontiformes, Nothobranchiidae. The record is from RefSeq and is a predicted model, not a curated record.